This 72-nucleotide transfer RNA is filed under the name Pangasianodon hypophthalmus (striped catfish). RNAcentral describes it as "tRNA-Glu". The record is from RNAcentral. Lineage: Eukaryota; Metazoa; Chordata; Actinopteri; Siluriformes; Pangasiidae.
UCCCUCGAGGACUAGUGGUUAGGCCACAGUGCUCUCACCGCUGCAGCCGAGGUUCGAUUCCUGGCCACAGAA